GCAGUCGACCGGUCUGUCGCUGAUGUUGUAGAACAGAAGAGGAAAGUCCGGGCAACAUAGAGCAUCCUACUUCCUAACGGAAAGCUAUCUGCGAAGGUGGAGUAAUGCAGAAGAAAAUAACCGCCUGGUUUCGGUCAGGUAAGGGUGAGAAGGUGGAGUAAGAGCCCACCAGCCACAUGGUGACAUGUUGGGCUGUGCAUCUUAGGAGUUGUAAGGUCAUGUAAACCGGCAUUAAUGAGGGUUGCUCGCCCCACGUCGGAGGGUAGACCGCUAGAGCUCAUUGGUGACAAUGGGUGUAGAUAAAUGACAGGCGCUUUGUCGAAAGGCAAGGAACAGAACCCGGCUUAUAGGUUGACUGCUUUU
This 363-nucleotide RNase P RNA is filed under the name Bacteroidaceae bacterium. Its description in RNAcentral is "RNase P RNA component class A". It matches the Rfam family "Bacterial RNase P class A". From Rfam's summary of the family: Ribonuclease P (RNase P) is a ubiquitous endoribonuclease, found in archaea, bacteria and eukarya as well as chloroplasts and mitochondria. Lineage: Bacteria; Pseudomonadati; Bacteroidota; Bacteroidia; Bacteroidales; Bacteroidaceae. The record is from RNAcentral.